CCUACGGGUGGCAGCAGUGGGGAAUAUUGCACAAUGGGGGAAACCCUGAUGCAGCGACGCCGCGUGAGUGAAGAAGUACUUCUUUACGUAAAGCUCUAUCAGCCGGGAAGAAAAUGACGGUACCUGCGUAAGACGCCCCGGCUAACUACGGUCCAGCCGCCGCGGUAAUACGUAGGGGGCAAGCGGUAUCCGGAUUUACUGGGGGGAAAGGGAGCGUAGAGGGUGCGACAAGGCUGGAGUGAAAUUCCGCCGCUUAACUGCGGAACUGCUUUUGAAACUGCCGAACUUGAGUGCGGGAGGGGUAGGCGGAAUUCCUAGUGUAGCGGUGAAAUGCGUAGAUAUUAGGAGGAACACCAGUGGCGAAGGCGGCUUACUGGACAGUAACUGACGUUGAGGCUCGAAAGCGUGGGGAGCAAACAGGAUUAGAUACCCCAGUAGUC
This 440-nucleotide ribosomal RNA is filed under the name uncultured bacterium. Its description in RNAcentral is "partial 16S ribosomal RNA". It matches the Rfam family "Bacterial small subunit ribosomal RNA", at positions 338 to 795 of the family's 1533-position model. The record is from RNAcentral.